UACGUAGGGUGCGAGCGUUAAUCGGAAUUACUGGGCGUAAAGCGUGCGCAGGCGGUUAUGUAAGACAGAUGUGAAAUCCCCGGGCUCAACCUGGGACCUGCAUUUGAGACUGCAUAGCUAGAGUAUGGUAGAGGGGGAUGGAAUUCCGCGUGUAGCAGUGAAAUGCGUAGAUAUGCGGAGGAACACCGAUGGCGAAGGCAACCCCCUGGACCUGUACUGACGCUCAUGCACGAAAGCGUGGGGAGCAAACAGG
Molecule: ribosomal RNA, 253 nt
Filed under: uncultured bacterium
Lineage: Bacteria
Description: partial 16S ribosomal RNA
Rfam family: Bacterial small subunit ribosomal RNA
Source: RNAcentral